GCGUCGCAGUGUUGUUGCAAACGCCGGUCGCGUAGGUUGUUGCUAGUGUGAAACGUUGAGCGCAGCGCCCACCCACACACACAUACACAUAUGUACGUAGUCGAGUGCGCGGAGCAGUCAGUUGUUGCCGCCAAUUGAAUGGACAGUCGCGGUUAACGAAACACGAAAAGUCGACUCGCCUCGCGUCGCGUGGAGUUCACUUGAGUUGAGUGGCGGCGAGUGUGUGUGUUUGCUUUUUUUUCGAACGCGCGAAACACGCGGCUGUUGCGGCGGUCCCGAGUGCAUUACUCACUCUUUUUUUUUCGGUUACUUGCAAGUGAUACCCCUUAAACGACCCCUUCCCCCCCACACUUCAAUCCCCCUCGCUGGCAUCAAACGCCAAAGGUGAUUAUAUUCGGAAAAGCAACGCCGUGGAGUAAAUAACGGAGCGGAGAGCGGAUCAACACAAAGCGAGACUACCUUUGGGGUCAUAGUUCAUGUUUCCCAUAUACACUUUUUAAACGCCGAUGAAGUUUAAGACUUGCUGAUGAUUGGAGUCAAAUAAUUAUAAAGGGUAAUCACGUUUGGCAAUCGUCAUGGUUCUUCAAGUCAAAUGCAUAAAAACUGACACAAACAGGAGCAAACAACACACGUGAAUUGGAAAGGGACGAAGGAACUAUAAUUGCACAACAAACCUGGUGGAAAGAGCAGCGACAAGAGCAGGAGAAGCACGGCUAUUCGCGAGCUUAGAGACCAUACCCACUGUCCUCCGGGACAUUAAUUAAUCACGGCCUUGUCAUUCGCAAGGAUCGAGGAGUGGCCAAAACGGCCAAACAAACAGGAGUACAGGAGUACUGGAGUACAGGAGUACAGGAGACUGGAGAAGGGUGCAGAAAUCAAAUUAACAGUGCGUCAAAAGGAUUAACCCCGUGCAGCCAAGGCAGCCAAGGGCAGGAGCAGGGAUUGGAGUUGGAGUUGGAGCACGGAGCACGUAGCACGAGUAAACCAACCGACCGACCCGAGAUCCACAUUCCAGGGUCAGCGGGUUACGCAGUUUGGAGCUUAGUUUGCAGCGUAGUUGCGAAGCUGCCUCCUUUGGCACGUGUUCGGCGGCUCGUCG
RNAcentral lists this small RNA (1099 nucleotides) under Drosophila yakuba. Its description in RNAcentral is "GE28798". Lineage: Eukaryota; Metazoa; Arthropoda; Insecta; Diptera; Drosophilidae. The record is from RNAcentral.